Molecule: ribosomal RNA, 164 nt
Filed under: Cardamine pratensis
Lineage: Eukaryota; Viridiplantae; Streptophyta; Magnoliopsida; Brassicales; Brassicaceae
Description: 5.8S ribosomal RNA
Rfam family: 5.8S ribosomal RNA
About the family: 5.8S ribosomal RNA (5.8S rRNA) is a component of the large subunit of the eukaryotic ribosome. It is transcribed by RNA polymerase I as part of the 45S precursor that also contains 18S and 28S rRNA.
Source: RNAcentral
AAAACGACUCUCGGCAACGGAUAUCUCGGCUCUCGCAUCGAUGAAGAACGUAGCGAAAUGCGAUACUUGGUGUGAAUUGCAGAAUCCCGUGAACCAUCGAGUCUUUGAACGCAAGUUGCGCCCCAAGCUUUCUGGCCGAGGGCACGUCUGCCUGGGUGUCACAA